Paramuricea clavata is the source of this 163-nucleotide non-coding RNA. The record is from the annotation of a GenBank genome assembly. Lineage: Eukaryota; Metazoa; Cnidaria; Anthozoa; Malacalcyonacea; Plexauridae.
AACAGUUGAUGACGAAGACAAUGACGAAUACUUAUGUCGUGAUUUUUCUGUCGGCUUCACUCAGUGAACUCUAUAUAUAGAUAUCUGGAAUGAUAACAGCGAGCGAAAAGUGAAGCCGACAAAAAAAUCACGACAUAAGUAUUCGUCAUUGUCUUCGUCAUCA